CAAUAGCGUAUAUUAAAGUUGUUGCAGUUAAAAAGCUCGUAGUUGAAUUUCUGUCAGGAGUGACCGGGCCUUUGGAUGAACUUCCAUUGUUUUUUGCUCUGUUUGUCAUCUCUAGACAUCCCGAAAUAUUUUUUAAAAAUAUUUCUCUUUUACUGUUAGCAGAAUAGAGUGUUCCAAGCAAAGCGUAGUUUUGAAUACAUUAGAAUGGAAUAAUAAGAUAGGACUUUGGUGCUAUUUUGUUGGUUUGCACACCAAGGUAAUGAUUAAUAGGGACAGUUGGGGGUAUUCGUAUUUAAUUGUCAGAGGUGAAAUUCUUGGAUUUAUGAAAGACGAACUACUGCGAAAGCAUUUACCAAGGAUGUUUUCAUUAA
RNAcentral lists this ribosomal RNA (371 nucleotides) under uncultured eukaryote. Its description in RNAcentral is "partial 18S ribosomal RNA". It matches the Rfam family "Eukaryotic small subunit ribosomal RNA", at positions 592 to 976 of the family's 1831-position model. The record is from RNAcentral.